This 272-nucleotide ribosomal RNA is filed under the name uncultured bacterium. Its description in RNAcentral is "partial 16S ribosomal RNA". It matches the Rfam family "Bacterial small subunit ribosomal RNA", at positions 337 to 626 of the family's 1533-position model. The record is from RNAcentral.
GCCUACGGGGGGCAGCAGUGGGGAAUAUUGGGCAAUGGGGGAAACCCUGACCCAGCGACGCCGCGUGAGGGAAGAAGGUUUUCGGAUUGUAAACCUCUGUCCUUGGUGACGAUAAUGACGGUAGCCAAGGAGGAAGCCACGGCUAACUACGUGCCAGCAGCCGCGGUAAUACGUAGGUGGCGAGCGUUGUCCGGAAUUACUGGGUGUAAAGCGAGUGCAGGCGGUUCAAUAAGUCUGAUGUGAAAGCCUUCGGCUCAACCGGAGAAUUGCAU